AAAUUCACAAAACCCUCCUUAAAGCCCAAAAAGAUCUCCGGUGAAAGGAGUCGGUUAGAGCACAACCCACCCAGAGUUGUACGGAUAUCAGUCACUGAUCCCGACGCCACCGACUCCUCCAGCGAUGAAGAGGGUGAGUUGUUUGGCCGCCAACGAGUGAAGCGGUAUGUGAAUGAGAUUAGCAUCGAAGCUAGCUCCAAAGACACUGUUGCCAUCGCUAAUGGGCGCAAAAGACCUGCAACUAAGCUUCCGGCGUCUCACCGGCCAAUCAAACUCAAUACA
RNAcentral lists this unclassified non-coding RNA (282 nucleotides) under Hevea brasiliensis (rubber tree). Lineage: Eukaryota; Viridiplantae; Streptophyta; Magnoliopsida; Malpighiales; Euphorbiaceae. The record is from RNAcentral.